This is a long non-coding RNA of Oreochromis aureus, 1030 nucleotides long. NCBI's taxonomy places the organism in Eukaryota, Metazoa, Chordata, Actinopteri, Cichliformes, Cichlidae. The record is from Ensembl.
CACGUUCUUCCUCUUUGCUACCGUCCUCCUCUCAGCGCAGGUUUGCCGCUGCUGAAACUAAACAGAGCUCCCUGAAAGGCUCAGCCAAUCACAUUGGCCAUAUUUGUCACAUGAGAAGAAGCGAUCAAAUUAUUGGUGGGGACAUGUCCCCUCCGUCCAUGCCAAAUCGACGCCCUUGGGCAGCAAUAAGAUUCCAUUAGAUGAACCAAGUGAACCGAGGUGCAGUAAUCUCAGCGUGCCUCUGUUCGGAUUUGAAAACAUUGAACACUGCCUCAGAAAACAUUUAGCCUAUUUAUCGCGCAAACAGUGGACGGCAUUAGCCACUGAUGACAUCACCUCGGAUGUCGUCAAUCUGCUGACUAAAAUGUGCCGAGUACUCAUAGAGGACAUUAGCAGCUUAGUGUUUAAAGUCGUACGCCCACAGGUUUUAUGCUGCCCACAUAAUCAUGAUCGUGGAGACAACGAAAGCUCCGAUGACCGGAUGAAUGUUGAACCUCUGGUUGAUGGGUGCAGUUACUGCAGGGUGACAGAGGAUGAUAUUCAGGCCAGCCUCAGAAACAUCUUUGAUAACUGUUUUGGUUGGGUCUUGGGUUUUGGGCAACGGCGGUCUCGUGACUCAGACAAACUACUGACUUUAUUUUCAGUGUCGAUUGCAAAGAAUGUAAACUCAGCCCUGAGUCGUAUCACAGGGUCCACAUCCUUGCAAUCAGAUAGGUCCAGAUCCCCAACAAACCUUGUUGGGAUGGUUUACAGUGUAGUCAACAUUUUAGAAGACUAUGCAAAGACCUUAGCUCCCCUUUCUGUAGAUGGUGAGAGUAGCAGCGACAGCAUUGUUGAAAUGCCAGAGUCUGAGGAAGAUAACGACUUUAAACCAGAGUCUGUAGAGACUUUUAAAAGCACACAGACUCAAGCUUGUGUAGGCAAGGAACGUUUGGUUAACAAGGGCCACAGUGAUACAUUUCAAAUCAUUGAUGUCCAAAAUCUUGACAGUGAGAGCUCAGAGAGUGAUGAAAAAUGUAGUGAUGCCCUG